This 250-nucleotide ribosomal RNA is filed under the name uncultured bacterium. RNAcentral's name for it is "partial 16S ribosomal RNA". It matches the Rfam family "Bacterial small subunit ribosomal RNA", at positions 524 to 773 of the family's 1533-position model. The record is from RNAcentral.
UACAGAGGUGCCAAGCGUUGUUCGGAUUUACUGGGCGUAAAGGGUGCGUAGGCGGUCGCGCAAGUCGGGCGUGAAAUCCCGGGGCCUAACCCCGGAACGGCGCUCGAAACUGCGCGGCUCGAGGUCUGGAGAGGUGACUGGAAUUCUCGGUGUAGCAGUGAAAUGCGUAGAUAUCGAGAGGAACGCCAGGGGCGAAAGCGGGUCACUGGACAGAACCUGACGCUGAGGCACGAAAGCCAGGGGAGCAAAC